GCUCACAUUAUGCUUGUUCAAAGCUGGUCUAUAACCUGUCCUGAAAAAUGACUGAUGGGUUUAAAAUAGAAAUCCCUGAAAGUAGAUUCUAAAGACUAGUCCGCUGCUUUCAGAAUGUCUUCCAAUCUACAACCUACAGAUGAGGCUUUAGAGGCCAUAGCCCCCCGAACAGAGUGUGGGGAAAACAUGGAAACAUCAAUAUCCG
Non-coding RNA from Pelobates cultripes (western spadefoot toad), 205 nucleotides. NCBI's taxonomy places the organism in Eukaryota, Metazoa, Chordata, Amphibia, Anura, Pelobatidae. The record is from the annotation of a GenBank genome assembly.